RNAcentral lists this ribosomal RNA (502 nucleotides) under uncultured delta proteobacterium. Its description in RNAcentral is "bacterial SSU rRNA". It matches the Rfam family "Bacterial small subunit ribosomal RNA", at positions 1 to 523 of the family's 1533-position model. The record is from RNAcentral. Lineage: Bacteria; Deltaproteobacteria.
UAGAGUUUGAUCCUGGCUCAGAACGAACGCUGGCGGCGCGCUUAACACAUGCAAGUCGAGCGCCCUGGGGCAACUCAGGGAGCGGCGAACGGGUGCGUAACACGUGGGUAAUCUGCCUCCGAGAUUGGAAUAACUCGCCGAAAGGCGAGCUAAUGCCGGAUAUGCUCACGAGGGCGAAAGCCUUUGGGAGGAAACGAGAAAUCGGCUCGGAGAUGAGCCCGCGGCCCAUCAGCUAGUUGGCGAGGUAAAGGCUCACCAAGGCGACGACGGGUAGCUGGUCUGAGAGGACGGCCAGCCACACUGGAACUGAGACACGGUCCAGACUCCUACGGGAGGCAGCAGUGGGAAUCUUGCGCAAUGGGCGAAAGCCUGACGCAGCGACGCCGCGUGUGCGAUGAAGGUCUUCGGAUCGUAAAGCACUGUCGCCCGGGACAAAACCCGCAAGGGAUGAUGGUACCGGGAGAGGAAGCACCGGCUAACUCUGUGCCAGCAGCCGCGGUAA